This 110-nucleotide ribosomal RNA is filed under the name uncultured bacterium. RNAcentral's name for it is "partial 16S ribosomal RNA". It matches the Rfam family "Bacterial small subunit ribosomal RNA", at positions 402 to 509 of the family's 1533-position model. The record is from RNAcentral.
UGAAGGAAGACUGCCCUAUGGGUUGUAAACUUCUUUUAUAAGGGAAUAAAGAGCGCCACGUGUGGUGUGUUGUAUGUACCUUAUGAAUAAGCAUCGGCUAAUUCCGUGCC